GAUAUUGAACUAUAAUCCAUUCUUAGGCCUACAACCUUCAACAUCAGUUCAUGUACAACCCGUUUUACAUACAACACAGGUGUAUGAGACCAGUACACAAGAAUACAGAAUAAUAUUUAGAAAUACACCAAUAACAACUACAAUUUCAAAUACAAGAUUGGUUGAGACUGUGUUAACUUCCUACACAACUAUAACCCAAACCCUAAAUCCUGGAUAUCCACAAUUAACAAAUAUUCUGGGAUAAAUUAAAUUAAAGUUUAUUAUGUUUUCCUCAAUGUUAGUCUAAAACAAAUCCUAUUAAUAAUUAUGUUGGAGGUAUAUUUAUCCCAUAUCAUCAGUUUUCAACUUACAAGUUUUUAAAGAUAUUUUACAUAUAUUUCUUAACAUUUUUCUAUGCUUGUUAAAAUGAAAAAUCUUAUUACAAAUGUUUCCAAAAAUCUUAUAUUUGAAGUUUAAUUAUUAUUUGCAAUUUGCAAGUUCCAUUGUAAUUGUUUAAGUAGAUGUAGUAUGUUCACAUAUUACACAGAUUGGACAAAAAUGGUAACUCACAUUUUAUUUAUUUGGGGAGUGACACACGACCGCACUAAUCUAAAGGUUGCAGGCUCACACGCAAAAAUAAAUCAGAAUUUUGUUAAUUACUUAAUAAAAAAUGAAGCUAAAAAGGUUAUUUAAAGCUUAAAAUUUACAAUGUACAUGUCUGGGGGUUAUAAAGUGGGUUACAUGCAGUGUUGCAACACUUCAAAGUCGACACCUUUUCUAAUUUUUCUUAGUAUUUCAAGUUAAACUAUUUAAAAUUCCCUGACUUAAUUAAAUGAUUAACUGUCUCGUCCUAUCUGUUUAAUCUGUGUUUAUAUUGAAUUUAAUAACCCCACAGAGAGGUGUGUAUGUAACUAAGAUGCCAAAUAUUCCGCCAAAAAUGAAAAUUCUGAAUACUAAGCCAAGACCAAAAAUGACAAUUAAGCUUAUUUUUUCACAGAAGUGAAAGUACAGAGCGCCCCACAUCAUAUUGGAUUAUCUCCAAGCUUUAACGCAAAAAUACGGACAUAAUACUAGAAAAGCUUGGUAUUUUCUGCAUGCAAAUUUUUAUAUUAGGCUUAAACAAUUUCUUUUAAUGAUUCAUUCUUUUUAAAUUUCUGAAGCGCAAUUUAGAGCCAUAACGAUCUGAAAUGAUGUGGGACACCGUGUUUUUGACGAUAGCUGCUCAAAAAUUUUAAUUAUAUUUUUAUGGCUUCAGUAAAGCUUUUCAAUUUCUAAUCUGUAAAUCUUUGCAACCUGAUGAAGUUGAAAGAUUUCCAAAAUUAGGUUGCAGAGAUUUAAGAAUUAGAAAAUAAAAGUGUGUGUGUCGUUUAAUUUCUUCGUUAAGUUCACUUUUUAACAAAGAAAACUUAUGGAAUUGGGUACAUUUAAAGCUUUGAAUAAGAAUUUGAACCAAAGAAAUAUAAAAUCUAAAAAGUAGUGUUUUAGUAAUUUUUGUUAGAAUAAAUGUAAAAAUUGUCAAAGCAUAUUUCCGUCCCUUCUAUGAUCAAGAAUGUCACGAAUUCUACAGUUUUGUUAGUUAAACAAUAAUUGAUUGAUUUCAAAAUUAGCAUCAAUUGUUAAUGGGGCAUUUCUUCUUUUUCAAAUUCUUCCGAAUAUGUUUUUAAAUUUGCUAUUGUUUGAAGAAAUAAAUGUAAAAAAUGAUAUAGCAUGAUGUUUCAUUAAACUCUAUCAUAUUUAAUUUUAAAUCUUUUAACUUUAAAACA
RNAcentral lists this long non-coding RNA (1742 nucleotides) under Eurytemora carolleeae. RNAcentral describes it as "uncharacterized LOC111714604". The record is from RNAcentral. Lineage: Eukaryota; Metazoa; Arthropoda; Copepoda; Calanoida; Temoridae.